RNAcentral lists this microRNA precursor (62 nucleotides) under Drosophila mojavensis. RNAcentral describes it as "Dmo-Mir-96-P3_pre stem-loop". It matches the Rfam family "mir-263 microRNA precursor family", at positions 12 to 76 of the family's 86-position model. Lineage: Eukaryota; Metazoa; Arthropoda; Insecta; Diptera; Drosophilidae. The record is from RNAcentral.
AAUGGCACUGGAAGAAUUCACGGGGUUUUUCUAACACGCCCGUGAUCUCUUAGUGGCAUCUA